This 447-nucleotide ribosomal RNA is filed under the name uncultured bacterium. Its description in RNAcentral is "partial 16S ribosomal RNA". It matches the Rfam family "Bacterial small subunit ribosomal RNA", at positions 329 to 793 of the family's 1533-position model. The record is from RNAcentral.
AUCCAGACUCCUACGGGAGGCAGCAGUGGGGAAUAUUGCACAAUGGGGGAAACCCUGAUGCAGCGACGCCGCGUGAGCGAUGAAGCAUUUCGGUAUGUAAAGCUCUAUCAGCAGGGAAGAAAAUGACGGUACCUGACUAAGAAGCCCUGGCUAACUACGUGCCAGCAGCCGCGGUAAUACGUAGGGGGCAAGCGUUAUCCGGAUUUACUGGGUGUAAAGGGGGCGCAGACGGCGAUGCAAGCCAGGAGUGAAAGCCCGGGGCCCAACCCCGGGACUGCUCUUGGAACUGCGUGGCUGGAGUGCAGGAGGGGCAGGCGGAAUUCCUGGUGUAGCGGUGAAAUGCGUAGAUAUCAGGAGGAACACCGGUGGCGAAGGCGGCCUGCUGGACUGCAACUGACGUUGAGGCCCGAAAGCGUGGGGAGCGAACAGGAUUAGAUACCCGCGUAA